CCUAGCCUACGGGGGGCAGCAGUCGGGAAUAUUGCGCAAUGGAGGAAACUCUGACGCAGUGACGCCGCGUAUAGGAAGAAGGUUUUCGGAUUGUAAACUAUUGUCGAUAGGGAAGAAAAAAGACUGUACCUAUCAAGAAAGCUCCGGCUAACUACGUGCCAGCAGCCGCGGUAAUACGGAGGGUGCAAGCGUUGUCCGGAAUCAUUGGGCGUAAAGAGUUCGUAGGCGGUAUGUUAAGUCUGGUGUUAAAUGCAGAAGCUCAACUUCUGUUCGGCACUGGAUACUGGCAAACUAGCAUGCGGUAG
This 305-nucleotide ribosomal RNA is filed under the name uncultured bacterium. RNAcentral's name for it is "bacterial SSU rRNA". It matches the Rfam family "Bacterial small subunit ribosomal RNA", at positions 331 to 654 of the family's 1533-position model. The record is from RNAcentral.